This 23-nucleotide non-coding RNA is filed under the name Arabidopsis thaliana (thale cress). The record is from RNAcentral. Lineage: Eukaryota; Viridiplantae; Streptophyta; Magnoliopsida; Brassicales; Brassicaceae.
CCGCAAAACUCAGUCACCAUUCA